UACAGAGGGUGCGAGCGUUUAAUCGGAAUUACUGGGCGUAAAGCGUGCGUAGACGGCUAUCUAAGUCGGGUGUGAAAGCCCCGGGCUCAACCUGGGAAUUGCAUUCGAGACUGAAUAGCUAGGGUACGGUAGAGGGAAGUGGAAUUUCCGGUGUAGCGGUGAAAUGCGUAGAUAUCGGAAGGAACAUCAGUGGCGAAAGCGACUUCCUGGACCAGUACCGACGUCAGGCACGAAAGCG
RNAcentral lists this ribosomal RNA (238 nucleotides) under uncultured bacterium. Its description in RNAcentral is "partial 16S ribosomal RNA". It matches the Rfam family "Bacterial small subunit ribosomal RNA", at positions 524 to 761 of the family's 1533-position model. The record is from RNAcentral.